Molecule: non-coding RNA, 2981 nt
Organism: Paramormyrops kingsleyae
Lineage: Eukaryota; Metazoa; Chordata; Actinopteri; Osteoglossiformes; Mormyridae
Source: RefSeq, a predicted model, not a curated record
GGUGCAGUAGUUGACUUGUGCCCAGUGUUACACCUGAAACCAAAACUUUUAUAUUCAGAGGAAGUGGGUGGCUUCUUCACUAAGGCGGAUUAAAAUGGCUUUCUAUAGUCAGGAACCCCUAAAGCUGGGGCUGACAUUAACACCUGUUUUAAAUUAAACUGUCUGCGUCAGUCUGUCUGUCAGCCCUAACCCAAUUGUCAACUCAACCAAGGGCCGUUACCUCUGCGCAUACUCCUGAAUCCAAGGCCUGCAAUAGCCAAUCAUGCCUAGUACUGAAAGCAAUUGCCGUUUAGUCUCUGAUUUGGGCAUCUCCUGUAUGUAUGCCACUCGGUCUGAUCCUAAUGACCUUCCCUCGCUUGUCAACACAUGUCCAAGGUAUUUUACCCUUUGUGACACCAGCUGCAGCUUCUCUUUGGAGGCUUUGUGCCCAUUUUUCACCAGGAAGUAGCACAUAGCUAUGGUGUCCUGUUUACAGGACUCACGAGUGUGACAGCAAAGCAGCAAAUCAUCCACAUACUGUACCAGUGCUGCCCCCAGACGUAGUGAACCCCUCCAAAUUUUUUUUAGGAGCUCUGGGGUAUAUGGCUGCAUUGACACCCCUCAGAUCUUGUACAAACCUCCAAGUACCAUUUGCCUUUUUCACAGGUAAGAUAGGAGAAUUGACUGGACAAUAGCUUAUUUCCUUAGUAGCCCCCCCCUUUUCACCAGAUCUGCAUGUACUUCUCUCAGUCCCUCCUCUGCUUCUCUAGAUAAGGGAUAUUGGGCCUUAUGAGGUCGAAAGUCAGACUUGGGGUGGACCACCAAAGGCUCAGCUGACACCACUCUGCCAAAAUCAUUUUUCCCUUUUGCCCACAAGCAAUCUGGUACCUCCCCUAACCAGUCGGGCAGUGGAUCAUCACCUUUCUCCUUAUUUCCCUCUGCAUCCCCCUUUCUCUUUACCUCUACAUACUGAUCUAUUUUGUACCUAUUUCCCUCCACAGCCGAAAGUUUGAAACUAUUCGAUGCUUCUGAUUGGUUAUCCUGUCGCGUCUACAUUUGCGGCCAAUUCUGCUAAUUAACUUGCCUGAGCGGUCUGAGUUUCUGUUGCAGGCAAUGGCAGACAAGGAAAGGAAUGCAUUCCAUUACUGGAAGUAUAAAAAACAUUUCCUAUAUGUUACGUGAAAAGGCACAAAUUUAACUUUGCAAUGCAGUACGUGUUCACCGGCUGUUAAGAUGUUGUCGACAACUAAACAGUCCAUGUCCAACCUAAGGAAACAUCUAGAGUGCAUAUCCACAACCAUGGAGAAAAAGUGGGAGGAGAUUUUCGAUUACCUUUCUAAGGCGUCAUACCCACCAGAGCCUUAGAAAAUACUCUUCUAAAUUCAGUAUUCAUGAUGGAAAACUAUUCUUCGAUGCAAGUCGCAAGGGUGCAAGUCGACGAAGAGUAAUCAAGACAAAGGAGGAGGCCGUGCAUUUUAAGGAAUUUCAUGCCUCACCAAUUGGAGGACACACUGGUAUUAUGAAAACUCAAACUGCCAUGUGUUCAAGGUUCUAUUGGUAUGGCAUGACAACAGACAUUGAGAAAUGGGUACCGUAUUUGCCGGCGUAUAAGACGACUUUUUCCCCCUGAAAAACAUGCCUCCAAGUGGGGGGGUCGUCUUAUACGCCGGGUGCACUUCAGUUGGGAUAGACAUAGCUGCCCAUAGUGGCCUCCCGAUGCCCACCCACCUCAUUCUACAUACCAUCCAGUAUCGCGCGGUAUCCAGCGCGGCUGCGGUGGGUCAUCAGCGUGGCUGCGGCGAGCAUCAGCAGCGAGACAGGGGUGCCAGCCUUUUCGGCGUGACCGGCCCGUUCUGUUCGGCGGGAAGCAGCGGCGCUCCGGCCCGCCCCUUGUCUACUCAGAGCUCGCACAUGUGCACUUGCGCACUAGUGCCGGUCACAAGGAGAUGCAGGGGCGGGCCGGAGGCGCUGCGGUCGUGCUACGGCCGUACAAUGGUGACAAUGACAGGUACUGUAAUGGCACUAAUACUAAUACUAAUGGCACUCAUGUAAUACCGGUAUAAUACCGGUAACAAUAAUAGCACACAGGGGUACACUUUUAUACAUUUUGCAACUCUCUCCUCGCCCCCCUUCUUAUGCAUACCUUGAUAAAUGCUCCCUAUCCAAAUCUCUUAUCAGGUCAUAAUAUACAGUAUGUCACUUGGUAUUAAUAUAUGGUACGGUACUAUAAUACUGGUACUAUCCAUAAUUGGAUUCAAGGGUGGACCAGACUGCUGCUAGUGACAUGGAGACAGGGAGACAGGGAGGGCAGACAGGGAGCAGGGACCAAUCCAAUCAGGCUUUGUAUACAGCCAACAGCCAACCACAGUACUGCACCAUUGUACAGUACAGUACAGCAUAGAAAAUGUCCAGCAGUCAAAACCCUAUCAACCCUAUCAUGGCACCAGCAAAAAGAAAGAAAUAUGAUGCAAGUUUUAAACUUAAAGUUGUAAACUUUGCCAUGGAACAUAAUAAUUGUGCUGCUGCAAGACAAUAUGGAGUAACAGAAAAGAUGGUUCGGGACUGGAAAUCAAAUGAAAAAGCAUUAAAGAGUAUGCCAAGGGGUAAGUGUGCAUUAAGAAGAGGCGCCCCACACUGGCCAGAACUCAAAAAACAUGUAGCAGACAUGGUGGCUCAGCAUCGCCAAAACGGUUAUGUGGUGACACGAAAUACAAUACGCUUGUUUGCACUUCAGUGGGCCAAAUCUAACCCAGAUCACAGCAACAAUUUUAAGGCCACUAUAUCCUGGUGUAGUAGAUUCAUGGCAAGGCAUGAUCUGGUACUAAGGCAAAAGACAAAAAUUGCCCAAAAAUUACCUGCAGAUCUGGAUAACAAAGUGGAUAGUUUCCAUCAAUAUGUAAUACAACAGCGCACUAAACAUGGCUAUGCGUUAAGUAAUAUUGGAAAUAUGGAUGAAAGUCCAAUGAAUUUUGAUAUGAUUGGAAAUAAAACUGUCCAUCAAA